This 649-nucleotide unclassified non-coding RNA is filed under the name Drosophila pseudoobscura pseudoobscura. RNAcentral's name for it is "GA31660". The record is from RNAcentral. Lineage: Eukaryota; Metazoa; Arthropoda; Insecta; Diptera; Drosophilidae.
AAAAGGUAAACAAUGCAUGUGCUUUGCGUGGAAAGACACUAAAUAAAAAGAGACAAGCACUUGCAGUAAUAACAAUACAGGUAAGUAGUAGACUGGAGUGGAGACGACGGAAAAACAGGUAAUAAAAGAGAUACUACACUGGAACAAAGACGAGACAAAACAGCUACAGGGAAGACUAGAAGCAUCGGCCAGCAUAGCAAAACACAAUGCUUGUAAAGACAUUGCGUUGCAUACCGGCCGACCCCGUCGUCCCCCCUGGUCGUCGAAAUUGGCGUCAUCCAGAGUCGUCAGAGGUAGCUGCAAUUAGCACCUCGUCGUCGUUGUGGCUGUGGCUGCCCUCUUGGAGAACCAGUGGCACUGGUCCGGCCACCAGCUGGGAGCCAGGAGUAGACGGCACAUAUAUUACUGUGGCGACACGGGUCCGGCCGCCAAAGUGAAAUGGAUGACCAUAGGGCACUCUGAAUGCCAUGGCACUGGAUCCGGCCACCAGCUAAGGACGAUGGCGAUGGCAUAACUCGAACGGCACAGGUCCGGCCGCCCAAGUGCAAUGGAUGUUUGUGUGUGUGACCAUAGGGCACUCUGAAUGCCAUGGCACUGGAUCCGGCCACCAGCUAAGGACGAUGGCGAUGGCAUAACUCGAACGGCACAG